RNAcentral lists this ribosomal RNA (429 nucleotides) under uncultured archaeon. Its description in RNAcentral is "bacterial SSU rRNA". It matches the Rfam family "Archaeal small subunit ribosomal RNA", at positions 474 to 903 of the family's 1478-position model. The record is from RNAcentral.
UACCAGCUCUCCGAGUGGUAGGGAUGUUUAUUGGGCUUAAAGCGUCCGUAGCCGGCUUAGCAAGUCUCCUGUUAAAUUCAGUGACCUAAUCGUUGAGCCGCGGGAGAUACUACUAGGCUAGGAGGCGGGAGAGGUCAACGGUACUUCCGGGGUAGGGGUGAAAUCCUAUAAUCCCGGGAGGACCACCAGUGGCGAAGGCUGUUGACUAGAACGCGCUCGACGGUGAGGGACGAAAGCUGGGGGAGCGAACCGGAUUAGAUACCCGGGUAGUCCCAGCUGUAAACGAUGCGAGCUAGGUGUUGGGGUGGCUACGUGCCACUUCAGUGCCGCAGGGAAGCCAUUAAGCUCGCCGCCUGGGGAGUACGGCCGCAAGGCUGAAACUUAAAGGAAUUGGCGGGGGAGCACCACAAGGCGUGAAGCUUGCGGUUC